GUGGGGAAUAUUCCGCAAUGGACGAAAGUCUGACGGAGCAACGCCGCGUGAGUGAUGAAGGUUUUCGGACUGUAAAGCUCUGUUGUUUGGGACGAAAGUGCCUGUUGCGAACAGUUACGGGUAUUGACGGUACUAAACGAGGAAGCCACGGCUAACUACGUGCCAGCAGCCGCGGUAAUACGUAGGUGGCAAGCGUUGUCCGGAAUUAUUGGGCGUAAAGAGCAUGUAGGCGGGAAUCUAAGUCUGUUGUUAAAAUGCGGGGCUCAACCCCGUAGUGCGAUGGAAACUGGGUUUCUUGAGUGCGGGAGAGGAAAGGGGAAUUCCCAGUGUAGCGGUGAAAUGCGUAGAUAUUGGGAGGAACACCAGUGGCGAAGGCGCCUUUCUGGACUGUGUCUGACGCUGAGAUGCGAAAGCCAGGGUAGCGAACGGGAUUAGAUACCCCGGUAGUCC
RNAcentral lists this ribosomal RNA (450 nucleotides) under uncultured bacterium. Its description in RNAcentral is "partial 16S ribosomal RNA". It matches the Rfam family "Bacterial small subunit ribosomal RNA", at positions 354 to 796 of the family's 1533-position model. The record is from RNAcentral.